This 301-nucleotide ribosomal RNA is filed under the name uncultured bacterium. RNAcentral's name for it is "partial 16S ribosomal RNA". It matches the Rfam family "Bacterial small subunit ribosomal RNA", at positions 509 to 807 of the family's 1533-position model. The record is from RNAcentral.
CAGUCGCCGCGGUAAUACGUAGGGUGCGGGCGUUAAUCGGAAUUACUGGGCGUAAAGCGUGCGCAGGCGGUUCGUUAAGACAGAUGUGAAAUCCCCGGGCUUAACCUGGGAACUGCAUUUGUGACUGGCGAGCUAGAGUAUGGCAGAGGGGGGUAGAAUUCCACGUGUAGCAGUGAAAUGCGUAGAGAUGUGGAGGAAUACCGAUGGCGAAGGCAGCCCCCUGGGCCAAUACUGACGCUCAUGCACGAAAGCGUGGGGAGCAAACAGGAUUAGAUACCCCCGUAGUCCCUGUCUCUUAUAC